RNAcentral lists this ribosomal RNA (406 nucleotides) under uncultured beta proteobacterium. Its description in RNAcentral is "bacterial SSU rRNA". It matches the Rfam family "Bacterial small subunit ribosomal RNA", at positions 49 to 459 of the family's 1533-position model. Lineage: Bacteria; Pseudomonadati; Pseudomonadota; Betaproteobacteria. The record is from RNAcentral.
UUACACAUGCAAGUCGAACGGUAACAGGUCUUCGGAUGCUGACGAGUGGCGAACGGGUGAGUAAUGCAUCGGAACGUGCCCAGUCGUGGGGGAUAACGCAGCGAAAGCUGUGCUAAUACCGCAUACGAUCUAUGGAUGAAAGCGGGGGAUCGCAAGACCUCGCGCGAUUGGAGCGGCCGAUGUCAGAUUAGCUAGUUGGUGGGGUAAAGGCCCACCAAGGCGACGAUCUGUAGCUGGUCUGAGAGGACGACCAGCCACACUGGGACUGAGACACGGCCCAGACUCCUACGGGAGGCAGCAGUGGGGAAUUUUGGACAAUGGGCGCAAGCCUGAUCCAGCAAUGCCGCGUGCAGGAAGAAGGCCUUCGGGUUGUAAACUGCUUUUGUACGGAACGAAAAGGUCUGGG